RNAcentral lists this long non-coding RNA (8415 nucleotides) under Marmota monax (woodchuck). The record is from RNAcentral. Lineage: Eukaryota; Metazoa; Chordata; Mammalia; Rodentia; Sciuridae.
GUCGUGGCUGAGUGGUAAAGCACUUGCAUAGCACGCAUGAGCCACUCACUGGGUUCCAUCCCCGACAUCACAUUAAAAAAAAAAAAACAGUUGAAGUCCAAAAGUGUGGCUUGGUGUAGUCAAAUGCCUAAUGGGCUUGCUUACUGUAAAAUUCUCUUUAAGUCUUUCUGUGCUGUCUGGUGAGUAUGCUUUUCAUUGUUGUUGCUGUUUUAUAGGUAAACGUCCUAAAAAAGGAAUGGCAACAGCCAAACAACGUCUUGGAAAGAUCCUUAAGUUGAACAGAAAUGGCCAUGCACGUUUCUUUGUGUGACAGAGCCACUGUUGCAGCCACUCUUCACUUUGGAGACCAGUCUUGGGGUGCAGAAGCCUGGAGCUUCCACCACCCCCUGCCUGGAACAUUUGCGUGUACAGUAAGAACACUGCCCGAAGAACAGAAUGAACCUGAUGCUGCAUUUUCACUGUGCCACACCCACUCAGCAAUAACCCUUUGGACCUGGUGGGGGAGAGGAAGAAGGAGGGUAGAACCUUAAAAAGAGACCUUGAACUGGAAAGGGUCUCUUGUCAGGGCUUGAAUUUCAUUUUGUUGUUGGUAGUGUCUUGAUUUAUUUUCAGUAGUAGGGUGAAGAAUUAUCAAUAAUUUAUUUAACAGAUUUUUUUAAAGUUAACAGCUUUUAAAUUCUUUCUUUUUUAAAGCUAUUUAUUUGGAAGAUUUCUGGAGAAAUAUCUCACUAAUUUAGAUUUAAGAAUGUGAAGGUUUUUAAAUUAUUUUUGAUAGUGUGUGUGUUACAUGUGGGAAAGAGCCACGGUAACAGUAACUAGUCUGGACUCUUAAAUUUGAUAUUCAGGUUAAAGUCUUAAACAGGGAUUUGAUGCAUUAAUUAUUUUAAAUUAAGAUGUAUAUGAAAAUCAUUUUAUUUUAUAUAUUUCAUGUGUUUUUUAUAAGCUAUUAGCUUCGCUUUUGCUAACAUUCAAGGUGCAUACUGUUAUCCAGGUUGAUUCCCUUAUACCCCACCUUCCCUCUGCACCCCCCUGUCAUUUUGUGAUGACUCUUCAAGUCUCUUCUCUUUGCAGGGAAAUACUUCCAUAGCCAAUGUGUAAGAACUUCAUAAAAGAUCCCUCAUUUCUCAUUUCCUUUGACAUUGUGGUUUUCUUCUAAAUAUAAAGAACUAGGCUUCUUAUGUUUUCAUUUCUGCUGAUGAUAUCUGGGUCCCAAAGAGAACAGCUUUAAUAUCUUUUUCCUACUUGUGCGGAAAGUAUUAUAAGUUUGGUUAAAUAGUCAUGUUUGUAUUUUUUCCAAAUACAUUUGUAACUACAGAGGGCCUUCUUCCUACUGUCAGUGUUGAAGGACAGGGCCAAUGCCUGCUGCAAGGUUAUAUCUCAUGAUGCUUUUAUUCUUUACACCUAAUUUGUUGAAAAGUAUGAAUUGAUGUAGGAUAUACAAAUCUGCAUAAUAAGCCGUAAUAUAAUAGGAUUAUACUAUAUUAAGUUGUAUAGAUGCAAGCAUGUUGGAGUAGAUUGUGUGUGUGUGUGUGUGUGUGUGUGUGUGUAUGUAUGUAUGUAUGUGUGUUUGUGUUUACUUUUUCUUAACCUUGUGCAUAAUUAUUUCAUAUAUGGAUUUGGAGUAAAAUGGGUGCUUCUUUUUGCGGUUUCUUCCAUAUAUCUUAACUUGACCACUGUAUACUUAGGUUAACUAUCUGGUUGAACUUUAAGGUAAUCAUUUAUCUCCUUUAUGUACAAUUUUUACUAAAUAUUAGUUUUCAGUUGCUGAUCAGAGUUUCUGGUUUCCCUUCCCCACCCUCACCCCCAUCCAUGGUAUAAAAAUAAAUGAUUGCUAGGGGUGAAGUGGAACUAUUCCUAAGUCUGACAGUAUAGCAUUUUACAAAUUUCUACAAAGACAAUAUAGGCAAAUAGGCUGGAAUUUAUUUUUAUGGAGAAAAAAUAUGGCCAUACUAUGGAUUUGUCUUUUUUUUUUUUAUAUAAGCAAGGUAGCAGGACUUUUCCUUCUGUAUUAAGUAUCACUAAGUUAUUAAGAAAAAAAACUAUACCAUUAUCUUUCAUGGUUGCAUUCAAAUGUGUAUUUCCAAAGAGAGAUAUUUCUUACUCUGUCUCCAUUCCAGUAUUUCAUGAGAUAACUAUGAAAUAACUUCUGAGUUAGCCUUUUUGGUCCAGAGUGUCUGGGCCAGAGUCUGAAUCUUAUCUGGAUGUCCAGGAAAAUAAUUUUUAUGGAAAUCCUUAAAAUUUGUAAACAACCUACUUAAAACCCUGUCUGUAGUAUACCUAACUAGUGGAGAGAUGGCUGUAGUCAACCAUUGGCUGGUCAUCAUAUAUCAAGAUGCAAAAAUCUGGGUUUGAUUGAUUCUCUCACCUUCCUCCACAGUAUAUCUCUAUAUACUUGUGUGUCUUGGUUUUUUGUAGACCCUGUUUUGAUGUUAUAGUAUACAUAUUUUUAUUUUGGUUUAAGAAAUAGGACUAUAAUUUCUUUUUCCAGUUACAUCAUAAUCUGGAUUUUUUUCUUUAUAAUUUUCACAACUUAUUUUUAAUUACUUUUUUCUUUAGCCGUAAAAAUUGAGAAAAAACAUAGUUUAUUUUUAAGAAAAAAAUCGUGGCCACUAUCCACCCUGUGUCCUUAGAUCAAUAAACACUAAUUCUGAGUAGCAAAUAUGUGGAAUUUUUAAGUGAAAGUACUGUGGAUUUGUUUUUGGCAGUUUUAGCUCACUAACUGGCUAAGUUCCAAAACUUUCAUCAAGGUCAUAUAACCACUAUAAGAGAGUACAUGUAUCUUUUUUUCUGAAUUGGUAAAAAUUCAGCUACCCAUCCAGGGACUUUUCUAAUCAAACCUCUUAUAAAGUUACUGCUAUGAUGCAUUCCUUUAUCUCUUGGAACUGACUGAACUUUGAGGUAAUGACUGCCGGUUUCUGGGCUCAACAGUAACAUAAGUAACCUUUAGUGUUUAACUUAGUUUUGUUUAUGAUCAGUAUACCACAGUUUAGACAGGAAGACAGCAUUUAGUUAGUUGUAAGCAAAUACAAAUAUGUAAAAUCAAGAAUUAAUGAUUUAAUGUAUGCAACUUAACAGUAGUAGUAAUUUUUCUAUAUUGAUAGUAAUUUUCCUAUAUUGAUUCUUAACUUGGGAUCCACUGUACUGUAAUUCACAUCACCACACAAUAUUAUGCUCCCCAGUACUGACGAGUGAUGUAAACAAUACAAAGCUGGCAGUUUAUAGUAAUCCAGUGUCUUAGGAAUACAUUUGAAUUUCAUAAGUAUCAGUUCAUUUCUGAAGCAUACAAAAUUGAACAUUCAGACUGAAAUCAUAAACUCAGAGAGGAAACAAGCUCAUCUUUAUCACUAGUUAAAUACUUAACUUGAACGUUCUAUUUUUAACAACCCCAAUUAUUGCCUUUUCAUUGUACUCUACUGUAUGUAUUCAUAUGGGAUCAGCAGGUAUUUAUCAAACAUUUACUGUGUGCCUCGCACUAUUUAGUAUGGUAGGGUAAUAUCAAGUUGCAGUUGUAGUCUUUGCCCAAGAAAUUGUCUUCUCCAGGAACUUAGCAGUACUGUUUUCACUUUUAGGCAAACUUCAGCAAAAGAGGGCUCCUUCAUUUAAAAAAAAAAAAAAAAAAAGUAGCUUAUCUCUAUUAGUUUCAAUUGAGAUAUCCCACUGUAGAAGUAAAAUCGACCUGAGUUCUUUAAGAAACAUUUCAAAAGUUAGUUAAUAAUGUUGGUAACAUAAAGAUGUGAAAUGAUGUGGAAGAAAGCAAAAGGUCCUGAGUUUUGGUCUAAGUUCUGCUUCUGAUGUGUCAGCUCUUGACCUUAAAUAAGUCACUUAGCCUUUCUAGUCUUAGUUGUCUUAUUUGUAAAUUUGGAUGAAAAUGCUUAUUAUAAUAAUUACUGAAGAAAAACAUUCCUUAAUCUAUUAAUACUUCAUAUUUACAGAGAAUUGAUCAUUAUUUAAGUUACAACUUGUAAUGAAUGCAUCUUUAUAUACAUUUUUAAAUGAAAACUGUUGUUUCUUAUCAAAUAUAUGCUAUCUAAAAAAAUCCGAAGAUUCUCUAACAAGGUGCUGAAUUACAGUUAGAUCCUGUGCUUGAAGUGAAAUAAAAAGAGGUGAGCUAGUUUAUGGAUAGGAAAGUGAGAGAGUUUAUUCUCAAGUUCAUGAAGAUGAUGUAAAAUGAUUAAAAGAUACCUUUAGAUUUUAGUACUGCUUUCCAGAUUUGGCAUACUUUUGAGGUACUGGAGAAAAAUGGAAUAAGUUAUGGAAUUAAAAUUAUUUAGCAACUACCCUUGGGACUGGUAGAAAGACGGAACUCCUCAGACAGCUGCAGGUUGGGUGACAGUUGCCUGGGUAAACAAAGAAAUCUUUGUAAUAGUGCAGGAAAGGAGACUAUGUCUUCUACAGAAAAUAAUCUGCUUGUUUCAAAAGAUGCUCUCUAAAGUGGUAAGGCUACUUCGGAGAGUUGAUGGGAAUGAUUGCAUGGCCCAGUAUGCUACUGCUAGAAGUAACUAUUACAACAAAUAAGCAUUUUUAGUUUUUGCAUGGAAGAGACAAGGGCUUUCAUAAUAUAAACAUCUUUCAGAAAUUCAUCUUUCUCAUUAAAUAUUGACCUAAUUUCUCCUUAUAUACAGAAAAGCUCUUGCCUAGUAUGUGCAAGGCCCUUGGUUAGAUCCCCUGCACUUCAAGAGAGAGAAGCGAAGUCUCCCUAGUCCUUUCCUGAUGUCCUACACCUCCAUCCAAAGUGAUCUUGAGGGUGAGCGUCAUGUAUCUUUAGCCUAGGAAAGCCAGUGAAAAAAGAAGACAAACGUACACCUGAUAGGGCAGUGAUUUGCUUGGGGACACAGGGUGAAUCUGCUUGGGAUCUAUAGAAUAAAACCUUGCUUCCUAAAACAGCUCCUGUUCUGUGACACUGCAGCCUCUGCUUGCCUUGCCGUAGAUGAUGUUCGUAUGCUUGAGGUCAGAUGGAAAGGAAGGGGAGAAAUUACUAUACUUAUUACUAAAUUGCUGUUGAGUGUAAUGUCAACUUAGUACUAUAGCCUUACUAAAAACCCUCAGUGAGCAUGCCAUAAGUCAAAGAAAUACUUGAUAUUACAUAAACAGUUUUAAGAUCAUCCAGAACAAAUGCAUAUUUCCAAAGCAGUUAACUUAUUGUGAUGGACUGGUUUUAUUCCUCUGUAGAAAUUUUUCCUUCUUUAGUUGGGAGGAGAAAAUAAUACUGAGUUGAGAGACCCUUAGAUUCUCCCUCUUGCCUUUGGUGCCCCUUCUUGUGUCUUAAGACUUUGUCUUAACAAGUGCAACAUUACAUUUUUGUUACAAUCUUUUUAAAACUGUAUUCAAUGAUUCUUCCAACAAGUUUAUCUGCUCUGCACUAUUUCACUAAUAUACCCUGGCUACCACGUAGCCCUUGACCUCCAAGUAGUUUACCUAUGCAAAACCCAUGACCUUCUGAAUUCACUUUUCUUUAUUUCAGAAAGCACUCAUAAACAGAACUUCCUUUAAAAAACAAACAAACAAAACAAAAAACUUAUUUUCAACCAGUUUUAUUUUGGCCAUUUCUUUUCCAAAAUAUAAGCUAUUUCCCCCUAAGGUUUUUCACCAAAACAAUGGUCAUUAAGUGCUAGGAUAUAUAAUAUUUUGCAGUAAUAAAAUAACCCAGGCAUACUCUUAUAUUUAUUUGGUGGAUUUUGGUUGGUAAAAAUUACCAGCACUAAAUGUAAUAUAUAAUGAGGAGUUGAUUCCUUGCCUAGAAUCGUUUCUUCCCUCUAAGAUUCAAAAGUAACGUUUUAUUUUUUACAAAGCAUACAUAUAACUUCCACACUAUAGUCAGGGACCUGAGGUGUAACUUAACUAAGUGAACCCCAAGGUUAUUUUAUCUUGUAAAAGAAACCUAAACCAAACUAAGGGCCUUACAGUUUAUGGUUAGACUGAAUCAAAAGCUACAGCCUCAGUUUUUCCACAAACAGCUUCUGGCUGCAAAGCAAGUCGUGCAGUUAUUAGGCAUGGAGUAGCACCGAUCAGGAAACGCACGAGCAUCUUUGCAGACUGUAUUUCCUUCGGAAAAGACUUUUCUACUUUUAAUAUAAAUUAAGCCAUAACAGUUUCAUGCUGUGGAAAGAGGGUGAAAAGGUUCAUUUUAAGAGAUUAUAUAGUAUGAAUUUUCACAUUUACUGUGAAAUGUCUAACUUUUCCAGUGCUUCAGCAAGUUUUCUUUUGGGGGGAUGUUGGAGGGUGGUGAUGGGGAGGGGUAGUAUUGGUUUUGGGGGUUUUAACUCUGUGAAAUUUGAAAAGGGGACAGUUGUUGGCUAUGGUACUUACUAGUUUUGUAGUAAUGUUUUGCUAGCCUGACUGACUUUCCUUACUGGUUUUUAUGUCUGCGGUCCCAGGUGACCGUUACCCUUCUUGUUUCGAGUGUCUGCGGAGUAGUGUCUUGUCUAUGUGUGUAGGCAGCCAGUGUGUGUGCACAUGUGUGUCCUUGGAAUACAGAAGCACACUGUGUGACAGUGAAACGGGGUGUGGCUGGGGAGUGGGAUGCGGAAGCUUUAAGAGCAUUUUUUUUCGAUUCAUAACAGUAUUUCCCAUCUUUUGCCUGCAGGCAGGGAAAGUGUACAGUAUUUAUUUUGUUUCUGUUUUACUCUGAAUUUGUAAGUCUUUAAGUAGCUUACAUUGAUUAUUAUAGGGGAAGCAGUGACUUGUUUAAAGUUGUAUUUGGUAUUCUUACUUUCCAAUUUCUGUAUUUUAAAAUAUUAAAAUUAAAAUUGUAUUACUUCUGUUUUGAUUUUUUAGCACUCAGUGUAUUUUUUGCUCAUUUUGUUUGAAAGUAUAAAUUUCAAAAGUUGUGUAAAAUAUGUCUCUGAAAGAAAAAAAUCCAAAUUCUAUAUCCAAUUAUGACUUUCUGUUCCCUUUUUCUUAUUGAAAUCUCAGGAAAUUAUUUAAGAAUGUGAAAAACUGUUCCUUACUUUCUCUGAAAAUUUAAAUGCGAAAAAUAAUGUGUUUUAUUAUUUUAGUAGAUGUUUUUCUGGAGAAGUGUGAUGGCUGAAAGAGAAGGAUGAUCGGCAAGAUGAGGCUGAGAUGCAGACAUGGAUGUGGGUGUUUAUGGAUGAACACUUCUGAGCACUCAUUGUCCCAAACCUGGGUACCUGUAGUGUACCAUGCACUGCUCUAGCACUUGUGAGCAUAACAAGCCCAAGCCUUGUGUGAAAUGGAAAUGGCAAAGGAUAACCAGGAGCCAUGGUGGCCUGGCUGUCUCACGAAGGGGAGAGGGUAAGUGUAGGUGCAAUGAGGAGGAUGAAUUCAGUUUUGGAUCUAAGGCCUGAGAGAGAUCAGGGAUGGUAUGAGUGGGGAUAAGCUCUAACCUUGCAGGGAGCGAGAGGAGCCAUGGGCUUAGGGGGAAGGGAUGCUGGGGCAGCACUUCACGGGCAGCAGGUAAGCCUUGGAUGAAGACAGUUAGUGGGUAGCAGAAGCACCAGAGACUGUGGCUCCCCUUCUCCCUACUACCAAAAAAUAGUGAUGCCAGAGCAUGGUAGCUGCUGUCUUUGUCGUCAUACCAAAAGCAGUCUGUGCUGCCUCUUUCUUGACUGACCUGCUUUUAUACAACUAGUGGGAGACUAAACUGAGCAAAUCUGUUCUUUUGAGAAAUUCCACAUGUACUAUUUUAGGUCUGUGGGAUGUUUACCCUUCUUGUUUACCUUUGAGUCAUUAGCACCCCCUCUCAUUUAGACUCUUAGCCUGGUUUUGUGUUUCCAUCAGUGGGGCUAAGAAAUACCUUGUUGUGGGCUGUGCGUGUUAACACCCUCUUGUUUUAGAGUAGAAAGAAUCCUGUGCUUUGCCUCAGACAGGGUGUGGACUAGAACCCUCAUUCUCUUAUUCCACUGGAGUUCUUGCUAGAUACAAAAAAUAUUUGUGUUCUUCCUUUGUGGCCCAGUGAAGUCAGCACUACUGCUAGGUGAAACUAAGGUGCAGAGAGGGUAAGUAACAUGUCCAGGUUCUUCUACUAAGUAAAACAAAUUUUAGUUGGAAGUCUGUUCAGUUCUAAUGGCCUUACUAUUUUAUCUGAAUUGUUUUUCUCUAAUUAUUUUUAGCUAUAUACUUUUAAGCAUUAAGGGGGAAUAGCUGGUCCUUGACUGUAUCCUAAACAUUUCUUUGUAGACUCCACCCAUUUUGGAUUAAAGUAUUUUUCUUGUGGAAGUUUUUUGUCACUUGACACUACAGAGUCUGUGCUUCCCCAGGAGCUGGUCAUACUGGGGAACACCAGUUCUUUUCUAGAACUGAGCUCAUUUUCUGAUGGAGAAUGUAGGCUAUACAUGGGUGACAGAUGGGCUCCACCGUCACAGUACAUGAACCAAAUGUAGAUUUCUGAAGUUCAGAACUAGAGGAUGAGCAGAAGCCAUGCCCAGUGCCCCCACCACCACUAUACCUGGCCUGGCC